RNAcentral lists this long non-coding RNA (1173 nucleotides) under Calidris pygmaea (Spoon-billed sandpiper). RNAcentral's name for it is "lncRNA (ENSCPGG00000000065.1)". The record is from RNAcentral. Lineage: Eukaryota; Metazoa; Chordata; Aves; Charadriiformes; Scolopacidae.
AUGUUGGUUUUGUCCAGGAUAACUACAAAAAAGCCCCUCUGUGUCCAUUUGCAAAGAAGCUCUGUCUUCUCGGCCUUCGGAAUGAGAAAUUGGUAUCUGACAAAUUCAGGGUGUAUCCCAGCAGGAGGGACUAGGGGGAACUGCUGCUCUGCAAUCUUGGCCACAGCUUGCUUUGAAAAACUGGGGGAGGCGGACUUCAAAGAAACAAUUCAAGAUCUUUGAGUCUAAAAUGCACUGUUCAGAGAUGGCCUUCAUUAGCUUUGUGCUGUAAGUAAAAUACACUCACUAAAAGGUACGCUAGGCAGCGGAAAUAUGUGGAAAUACGUUUUCUCUCUUUAAUAGUAAUUCUGAGUCAAGCACAGGGUAAGGGAAGAAAAAGCUCCCAGUGUAGGUACCUGUGAGGGAAAACAAAGAACUCUGAGUGCAGGACUCUGCUCUUGGCAGUAUUUUUUAUUACAUACUUGGCCUACAGCAAAAAUGUCUCUUCCUUAUACAAACAACUCCAGGGAGAGCUCCUAGUGAGCCUACAUAAUGGUGACACAAAUUAGAGCAAGAACACUUCUUAAAGCUCCAUGAGCCUCCAAAAGAUUAAAUGUGUGUUACCUCUGGGUACUUAAUUUGGGGAUUCAUUUUAUUUAUUGUUUUGAAAAUGAAGGAAUGCAUUUCAUAGAAUCAUUUAGGUUGGAAAAGUCCCUUGGGAUCAUCGAGGCCAACCAUCAACCCUACUCUACGAAGUUCUCCCCUAUAAGCAGGGGAAAACUCUCCCCUAUUUCCCUCAUAAGCAGCUGUUUUCGUGAAAAUACGUGAUGGUUUGGAUGGCAAGAGUUUGCAAAAAGUGAAGAGAGCUGGUACAGAUGAAUGGUAGUGCUGUCCUUGUUCAGGAAAGGUAAGGUAACUGUGUACCUAGAAAAUGAAAGAGAGUUACUAGCUGAAGAGAAGAGCUGUUGCAAGUGCUCGUACUAUGCUGUAUCUCCUCAGCAGAUUGGAUUUCUGCAUCUCCCAGGCUAAACAAGAAACUUAAGCAGCCCAAAAGCUGCCUGGGGCAGCCUGGCCUGCUCUAUUUAUAGUCCUUCCUCCUCUUGCUGAAGACUGGCACCUUGCCUCUGCAGCCUGGCAGCCAAAGAACUUAAGCGUGUUCUAAAUAAAUUCAUAACGCGUCAGAGAUGAAGCGCA